Molecule: ribosomal RNA, 342 nt
Filed under: Lactobacillus crispatus
Lineage: Bacteria; Bacillati; Bacillota; Bacilli; Lactobacillales; Lactobacillaceae
Description: bacterial SSU rRNA
Rfam family: Bacterial small subunit ribosomal RNA
Source: RNAcentral
CCUUAUGACCUGGGCUACACACGUGCUACAAUGGGCAGUACAACGAGAAGCGAGCCUGCGAAGGCAAGCGAAUCUCUGAAAGCUGUUCUCAGUUCGGACUGCAGUCUGCAACUCGACUGCACGAAGCUGGAAUCGCUAGUAAUCGCGGAUCAGCACGCCGCGGUGAAUACGUUCCCGGGCCUUGUACACACCGCCCGUCACACCAUGGGAGUCUGCAAUGCCCAAAGCCGGUGGCCUAACCUUCGGGAAGGAGCCGUCUAAGGCAGGGCAGAUGACUGGGGUGAAGUCGUAACAAGGUAGCCGUAGGAGAACCUGCGGCUGGAUCACCUCCUUUCUAAGGAA